GACGAAGGGGGCUAGCGUUGUUCGGAAUUACUGGGCGUAAAGCGAGUGUAGGUGGUUGUCCAAGUUGGAUGUGAAAGCCCCCGGCUCAACCGGGGAAUUGCAUCGGAUACAGCCUGGCUUGAGGACGGUUGGGGUGAGUGGAACUCCUGGUGGAGCGGUGAAAUGCGUAGAUAUCAGGAGGAACACCGGUGGCGAAAGCGGCUCACUGGACCGUUGCUGACGCUGAGGUGCGAAAGCUAGGGGAGCAAACGGG
This 253-nucleotide ribosomal RNA is filed under the name uncultured bacterium. RNAcentral's name for it is "partial 16S ribosomal RNA". It matches the Rfam family "Bacterial small subunit ribosomal RNA", at positions 524 to 776 of the family's 1533-position model. The record is from RNAcentral.